Molecule: small nuclear RNA, 106 nt
Organism: Perognathus longimembris pacificus (Pacific pocket mouse)
Lineage: Eukaryota; Metazoa; Chordata; Mammalia; Rodentia; Heteromyidae
Source: RefSeq, a predicted model, not a curated record
GUGCUCACUUUGGCAGCAUAUAUACUAAAAUUGGAAUGAUACAGAGAAGAUUAGCAAGGCCCUGUGCAAGGAUGACAUGCAUAUUCAAGAAGCAUUACAAAUAAUA